RNAcentral lists this ribosomal RNA (1499 nucleotides) under uncultured organism. RNAcentral's name for it is "bacterial SSU rRNA". It matches the Rfam family "Bacterial small subunit ribosomal RNA". The record is from RNAcentral.
AGAGCGAACGCUGGCGGCGUGGUUAAAGCAUGCAAGUCGAGCGAAUGUUGCAUUUGGGUAACCGAGUGUAACGUUAGCGGCGAACGGGUGAGUAACGCGUGGGUAACGUACCCCGAACACAAGUAUAGCUAGCCGAAAGGUUAGGUAAUACUCGAUGAAGCCAUUCCUGGGCAUCUUGGAAUGGUCAAAGGGCGACCUCUAUUUAUAAGUUGUCGGUUUGGGAUCGGCCCGCGUCAUAUCAGCUUGUUGGUAAGGUAACGGCUUACCAAGGCUAAGACGUGUAGCUGGUCUGAGAGGAUGAUCAGCCACAUCGGGACUGAGACACUGCCCGGACCUCCACGGAGGGCUGCAGCAACGAAUCAUCCGCAAUGCGCGAAAGCGUGACGGUGCGACGCCGCGUGCGGGACGAAGCCCCUAGGGGUGUAAACCGCUGUCAGGGGAAACCACACCGAUAGGGCAAAUAGUCCUUGAGGUAGAGGGAACCCAGAGGAAGCCACGGCUAACUCUGUGCCAGCAGCCGCGGUAAGACAGAGGUGGCUAGCGUUGCUCGGAAUCACUGGGCUUAAAGGGUGCGUAGGCGGCUUAUCAAGCAUUAUGUGAAAGCCCUCGGCUCAACUGAGGAAUUGCAUAAUGAACUGGUAAGCUUGAGGUGCGUCGGGGCCGGAAGAACUCUGGGUGGAGCGGUGAUAUGCGUAGAUAUCCAGGGGAAUGCCAGUGGCGAAGGCGUCCGGCUAGGCGCAAUCUGACGCUAAGGCACGAAAGCGUGGGUAGCGAACGGGAUUAGAUACCCCGGUAGUCCACGCUGUAAACGUUGUGCACUGGUUUCGGGAACCUCUGACGGUUUCCGGAGCGUAGAAAAAUCGUUAAGUGCACCGCCUGGGGACUACGGCCGCAAGGCUAAAACUCAAAGGAGUUGACGGGGGCUCACACAAGUGGUGGAGCAUGUGGCUUAAUUCGAGGCAACGCGAAGAACCUUACCUGGGUUUGACAUGUACGGAUGCCCCCCUGGAAACAGGGUGUGGUUGCCCUCGUGGUGAAACGUACACAGGUGCUGCAUGGCUGUCGUCAGCUCGUGCCGUGAGGUGUUGGGUUAAGUCCCGUAACGAGCGAAACCCCUAUCUUUAGUUGCCAGUUCCGAUUUAUCGGAAGGCACUCUAACGAGACUGCCGGCGUCAAGCCGGAGGAAGGUGGGGACGACGUCAAGUCAUCAUGGCCUUUAUACCCAGGGAUGCACACGUGCUACAAUGCCAGGUACAAAGUGACGCGAAGCCGCGAGGUGGAGCAAAUCGCAAAAAACCUGGCCCAGUUCAGAUUGCAGUCUGCAAUUCGACUGCAUGAAGUCGGAAUCGCUAGUAAUCGCGUAUCAGCAAUGACGCGGUGAAUGUGUUCCUGAGCCUUGUACACACCGCCCGUCAAGCCAUGGAAGUUGGGACCACCCNGAAGUCAGCUUAGCGAAUCCCUCGGGAUAGCGGUUGCCUACGGUGUGCUCGGUGACUGGG